GACGUAGGGCGCGAGCGUUGUCCGGAUUUAUUGGGCGUAAAGAGCUCGUAGGCGGCUUGUCGCGUCGUUCGUGAAAACCUGCAGCUCAACUGCAGGCUUGCGGUCGAUACGGGCAGGCUAGAGUUCGGUAGGGGAGAGUGGAAUUCCCGGUGUAGCGGUGAAAUGCGCAGAUAUCGGGAAGAACACCCGUGGCGAAGGCGGCUCUCUGGGACGGUACUGACGCUGAGACGCGAAAGCGUGGGGAGCGAACAGG
Molecule: ribosomal RNA, 253 nt
Filed under: uncultured bacterium
Lineage: Bacteria
Description: partial 16S ribosomal RNA
Rfam family: Bacterial small subunit ribosomal RNA
Source: RNAcentral